AUUUAGUCAACCAUCAAUAAUCAAAUUUGAGAUUACUCAUUAUCUAUACCCUUACAGAGGUAUAAAAAGAUAAAUGAGAUUUAACUGGAUUGAUCCAAAUAGAUUGUAAGUCACUAAUAAUCUUUGGUUACAUAAAGGAAUUUGGAUCUUCAACUAUGAAAAGCUUAUCAUUAUCUCUAAUCACUUCAAUAGAGUCAAUUUCUGAACCUUCUUCAUCUGUUACAAUGGCAUUUCUUGCAUCAAAUCUAAACUUUUCGCCUAUAAAACAGCAAGAGAUUGACGAAGUAAGGAAAUUUGCUACACAACAAGUUUUCAUGAAAAAGAAUUUUUGAUAUUCAAAGCAGAAAUCUAACCUGCAAUGCUCUUGAGCUCCUCUAUUGAAUUUGGCAAUCUGAUCAAUCUCCCCGAUUCCCUGCAACAAUUCUCUUUCCUAACCAGAGGAUGGCCUCUAUAUAUGCUCACCCUUACAUAUUUCAAUCCAAUGGAUUUUCCGGAGGAGUUGCAUUCUUCCUCUUCUUGAUUCAUCUUCGAAAUCACUUCAUCACUAGUCACAGUAUCUGGCAUUGUAAUCCUGUGUCCAAUUUCUCUCUUUUGCAUCAUUUCUUUCAAAGCUGUCGAAGAAAACUCGCUUCUGUUUGCUGCAGAAACAUCUGCACCAUUCAUUACUAGCAAGUCUACCAUGCCUACAUAAUUCUGUGCAAUGGCUAUUUGUACUGCUGUUUUUCCUUGGCGAUCCUUUGAGUCGACGUUUAGCCCAUGCUUCAAGAGUUCCUUCAUCAUUGUCAGAUCGUUCCGUUUCGCAGCAGUGCAUAAAAGAUCACCAGCAGUUUGAGGGUCAGAAACAUUUGCGAAGUGAUAGAGAAUUCUAAAUACAGAUUGGUGCUUUGAUGAUAAUGCUUCCCAUAAAGCAGUGUUUCCAUUAACAUCUCUCAAGUGUAUAUUGCAUCCAUGUCUAAGGAGUGCCAGGACACAGUCCUCAUGCCCUUUUGAGGCUGCAAUGUGCUGGUGCAUCACAAAAUUUCUCAAUAAACUAGUUCUUGUGCAGGAAAAACAAGAAAUUGUUGAGGAAGAAGCCAAUUAUGAUUAACAAAUUAGUUGAAUAUUUCCUUUUUCAUUCUUAAUUAAGUUCAACAAAUUAUGAAUAUGAAUAUGGUUAGAUAUAUAGGAGAAUACCAAUGGGGUUCUUCCCUUAGAGUCUCCAAUAUCAGGAUCCAAUUUUGCCCUUAGAAGUUCUUCAAGAAAAGCAGCAUUGCCUGCACUAGCUGCUGUCAGCAAAUUGAAAGCCAUGUUUGGAUCACCAUCUUCUUCUCCACCCUCAGUCAGAAAUUCUCCAAUCUUCAAAUCCUUGAGCUUCUUGUGAUGCUGAAGGAAGUUUUUAAUUAUAGCUAUAUAAUCUUCUUGUUUGGUCUGCAUAGUUUCUAUCAGAGCACUGCUUUUGAGCUUCAGGAGUUGUGAAAGUGUCCUGGUUCGAAAUGUGAAGCUUUGAUGCUUGCAACAAAGUGCACCAACUUCUCCAAAAAUGUCUCCAGACUGCAGAGUCCCAAAUACUCGCUCUUUAUCCAGAUCAGAAUCAAUAAUUUCUACCUCUCCAGAUACAAUUAUGUAAAUAUCAUCGGGUGCUUCAUUCUGCAUGAUGACAUCUUCUCUAGGUGGAAUGUACUCAGCUUUCAUCUCUGCGACCAGAAGCAGCAGUAUUUCCCUUGAGACACCCUUGAAAAGAUAAACCUUCUCCACUGUUGGCAAAAACAAAUGGUGGCAAAUGCAUUUGCAUAUGGAUUUUGGUAAUUGUUCAAUCAAAUGAUUCUGGUUCAAGCUCUCAGCCUUAAAUCUCAGACACAUAUAAGCCAAAAUCUGCUCUUUCAAUCUUGGAGGCAAGCGAUUUCUGCACACAAAAUUUGAUACUGCUUCAAUGCUACUCCUAAAUUCCAUGGUACGACGAGUUCCUUCCACGACUAGAUUCGUCAUGUUACCAAUCAAAUAAGCAGUGAGGCCAAGGUUGAAGAGCAUGUAGAAAAUAAUGAAGAUCAUUUCCACAGUGUUCACAGCAUGAAGGUCACCAUAACCAACUGUGGUCAUGGUGGUUACGGACCAGUACAAAGCUGAAAUAUAUCUAAUCCAAAGGCUCGUUUCUCUGAAAUUUGGGUUCACAGAACCUAGCCAUGUCUUUCCUUGAUGUGGGUAUCUGUCAGCUAGCAAGUAGUACAGGCACCCAGCACAAUGCACUAGAAACAGUGUGACAGACAGUAACCUAGCACAUCGGAUCCAGAAAUAGCUAAACCUUAUAUCCUUCUCCAGCCUAGUGAAGAGCUGCUUAACUCUCCUGAGACGCCAAAAUCUGAGGAUUCCCAAAAGGGAGUAAGAGAGUUGUAUCUUUUGUUUGCCUGUGAACAAGUAGCCCAAAGCCUCAAAUGGGAUAGUUGAUGUCACAUCCAUCAAGAACCAGGUUGAUAGGUACCUUAUAGAAAUCUUUCUUCUGUCGCGAACCAAAAGCUGGGUUCUUGAAUCAAUAUAAGCAACGAAGAAAGUUAAGACAAUAUCAAUGGCGAAAAAUAGAUCAACGAUGUUGUCUGCCAUGUAUAGCCUUUUAUUUCGAGAUGAAUUCAGAAAUGCUACUUCAAAUGGGUAUACCCAUGCCGAAUAAGCUACCAGCAGCACCAUAAAUGACUCCCAACACCUGUAUUUUGAAUCCAUAGGAGAUAUGAUCCAGCCUUUAGUCUCUGUAGGAAUCUGGUUAUAGCUAGAGACACCCAAAGGUGGAAGAAUAAUCUUGGACAAGCUAGAAAGAGAAAUAGAUGUAUCAUAUUCUUCGUGAUGAUGAGUAGUUUCUGUUUCUCCAUGGUGGUUUUUGCAACUCUUCUUCAUGUUAGAAGGCAGCUUAAGAUCAUUACUUGGUGCUAAUCUCAUUUCCAUUCUUGAAAACCAACAACUCUAGCUAUGUUCUUGGGAAGAAAGAAAGAGAGAGAGAGAUGAUAUCUUGGCAUGGCAAGGCCAGAAAGGAAAGCUAGGAAAGGGAAGGUUUUCUUCAAGGUAUAUUAUUGAAGGAGAUGGUCCUCUUAUUUAUUUAUUUUUUUUUUUUAACAAGAGAUUGAGAAUCAAGUUAAGCAUUUGAUGAAAUCAAGUUAAGCAAGGUGGAGCUAGAAAGAGAGAGAGAGAGAGAG
RNAcentral lists this unclassified non-coding RNA (3158 nucleotides) under Hevea brasiliensis (rubber tree). Lineage: Eukaryota; Viridiplantae; Streptophyta; Magnoliopsida; Malpighiales; Euphorbiaceae. The record is from RNAcentral.